RNAcentral lists this ribosomal RNA (460 nucleotides) under uncultured bacterium. Its description in RNAcentral is "partial 16S ribosomal RNA". It matches the Rfam family "Bacterial small subunit ribosomal RNA", at positions 338 to 795 of the family's 1533-position model. The record is from RNAcentral.
CCUACGGGUGGCAGCAGUGAGGAAUAUUAGUCAAUGGACGAGAGUCUGAACCAGCCAAGUAGCGUGAAGGAUGACUGCCCUAUGGGUUGUAAACUUCUUUUAUAUGGGAAUAAAAUGUUCCACGUGUGGGAUUUUGUAUGUACCAUAUGAAUAAGGAUCGGCUAACUCCGUGCCAGCAGCCGCGGUAAUACGGAGGAUCCGAGCGUUAUCCGGAUUUAUUGGGUUUAAAGGGAGCGUAGGUGGAUUGUUAAGUCAGUUGUGAAAGUUUGCGGCUCAACCGUAAAAUUGCAGUCGAAACUGGCAGUCUUGAGUACAGUAGAGGUGGGCGGAAUUCGUGGUGUAGCGGUGAAAUGCUUAGAUAUCACGAAGAACUCCGAUUGCGAAGGCAGUUCACUGGACUGCAACUGACACUGAGGCUCGAAAGUGUGGGUAUCAAACAGGAUUAGAUACCCCUGUAGUC